GCUGGGCGUGGUGGCGGGCGCCUGUGAUCCCAGCUACUUGGGAGGCUGAGGCAGGAGGAUCACUUGAACCCAGGAAGUGGAGGUUGCAGUGAGCCGAGAUCGCACCACUGCACUCCAGCCUGGGCAAUAAAGUGAGACUCUGUCUCUA
RNAcentral lists this signal recognition particle RNA (148 nucleotides) under Nomascus leucogenys (northern white-cheeked gibbon). Its description in RNAcentral is "Metazoan signal recognition particle RNA". It matches the Rfam family "Metazoan signal recognition particle RNA". From Rfam's summary of the family: The signal recognition particle (SRP) is a universally conserved ribonucleoprotein. Lineage: Eukaryota; Metazoa; Chordata; Mammalia; Primates; Hylobatidae. The record is from Rfam by way of RNAcentral.